UUGAAUCUCUUAUUCCCGGAGAAAGUGAAUGUAUAUAUGAGACAGAAAUAAAGAAAGAAAUCACAAAAUCUGAAAGUACAAUCGAUGUUUGUCAUACACAGGUUAGAGAAAUUGAUCAUCUAAUCAUUGAUGAAAGUGACAUAGAGGAAGAUUACAAAAAUACGUCUAGCCUUUUUCGAAAACCGGCAAACAACCAAAGUUAUACAAAAAGAAGAUCUAACCAGAAUCGCACUACAACAACAACCACUGAAGAAGAGAUAAUUUCUUUGAAAAGCCGAGUCAAUUACCUAGAAGACGAAUUAAAGAAAUUGCAUGAUCUUAUUAACUCUUUUGUUAGUUCUAAUACCAACAAUCGAAGGGACUAAGUGGUAGUUAUGAGUUGGAUACACACAAGGCAAGCUUAAGAUGGAUGUUUAGCUUUAAGUUUUAAG
Long non-coding RNA from Capsella rubella, 431 nucleotides. RefSeq lists it as uncharacterized. The transcript has 3 exons. The record is from RefSeq and is a predicted model, not a curated record. NCBI's taxonomy places the organism in Eukaryota, Viridiplantae, Streptophyta, Magnoliopsida, Brassicales, Brassicaceae.